Molecule: small nuclear RNA, 108 nt
Organism: Jaculus jaculus (lesser Egyptian jerboa)
Lineage: Eukaryota; Metazoa; Chordata; Mammalia; Rodentia; Dipodidae
Source: Ensembl
GUGCUUGCUUCUGCAGCACGUAUACUAAACUCCAAACUAUGCAGAGAAGAUUAGCAUGGCACCUAUGCAAGGAUGACACACAAAUGAAGCCUUCCAUUAAAGAAUUUA